GUUAUAAAUAAUUUCCCUUCUAAACCUGUGUACUUUAUGGACAGUGUAGCAUUUUAGUGUGGAAGUGUCCGAUGUAUGUAGUUCAGAAGAUAGGUGCCAAAGUGUAACAAUAUAAUUUAAAAUGGUAUAAAUGUGAACAUGCUAUGACUUAGAUUAGUUUAUACCAAAUAUGGACAUAGCAGUUAUUGUGGUAGCAGCUAGGUAAAGUGUAUAAUAGUGACAAUAAAUUAAAUAUUAUAUAUUGUCGCGGCGGACCGACAGCCGGCGCGCAGGAUAAGAAAGUCGCUCCUUCCCCGACUGCCGCGCAGCUGGAAGGACCGUCAUGGUGGGGCGUAACCGCCGUCACAACACCGGCCGGCGAUUAGGGAGUCAGUCGGGAGAAUUCCACCACUCAGGCGACGGGGGAAGAGUAUAAGAGGACGCUCUUCCGCCCGUGCAGGGAAGAGUUCAGGUGCGGACGAAGACGCCAGCUGGUGAGCUUACACACGACGGUGGAUGACGAGCACGGAAAACCCCACAAACUCGAAGGGAAUCCCGACAUGUCCUCGAGAGCGUCGCAACGCCAGCCACACCCCCCACAAAACCUCCCACACUCGCCCACACACACCUCCUCACUUCAGACAGCACCACGUAAGAGAAAAUAAAAGAUUAAUCACUGUAUCACUGCAACCAGUUUCCUGCGUAUCUGUGCUCCGCCCCCCGGGCUAUUUCC
This is a long non-coding RNA of Ictalurus punctatus (channel catfish), 712 nucleotides long. The record is from Ensembl. Lineage: Eukaryota; Metazoa; Chordata; Actinopteri; Siluriformes; Ictaluridae.